This 333-nucleotide ribosomal RNA is filed under the name uncultured bacterium. RNAcentral's name for it is "bacterial SSU rRNA". It matches the Rfam family "Bacterial small subunit ribosomal RNA", at positions 568 to 898 of the family's 1533-position model. The record is from RNAcentral.
CGUGUAGGCGGAAGGGUACGUCGGUCGUUGAAAUCCCCCGGCUCAACCGGGGAACGGGCGCCGAUACGGCCUUUCUGGAGGAACGUAGGGGGACCUGGAACUUCCGGUGGAGCGGUGAAAUGCGUUGAGAUCGGAAGGAACGCCCGUGGCGAAAGCGAGGUCCUGGACGUUUUCUGACGCUGAGACGCGAAAGCCAGGGGAGCAAACGGGAUUAGAUACCCCGGUAGUCCUGGCCGUAAACGAUGGGCACUGGGUAGGGGGCUCGCCGAUGGGCUCCCUGCCGUAGGGAAACCGUGAAGUGCCCCGCCUGGGGAGUAUGGUCGCAAGGCUGAA